RNAcentral lists this long non-coding RNA (294 nucleotides) under Helianthus annuus (common sunflower). Its description in RNAcentral is "sRNA HanXRQr2_Chr01g0005971". Lineage: Eukaryota; Viridiplantae; Streptophyta; Magnoliopsida; Asterales; Asteraceae. The record is from RNAcentral.
UACAAAAGCUUUAGCUUCAAACACUCUACCAUCAACAUACACCCCUUUAUAUCUCUCUUUCUAUCUCUCGUCCUCUCCCUGUCUUUGAUGGCUGAGACUAUCAAACUCACAAACAAGGGCCUAAAGUCUAAAUUAAACUUUCAAGUUCAAGUUUCAUCAUCCUAACAUUUUGUUCCAUCCAUUACAAAUGGGCACGAGGAGGUUAGUUCAUGUAGACAAGGACUUUGCUAUUUGCUAUUUGCUUUGACACAUUUGUUUGCACAUCAGGUUGCAUUUUCAAAACUAUGGAACGGU